CCAGCAGGCCACCUUACCGCCGUGUGCCGAACUAGUUUCGGCAUCCAUUAUGGAUCCUGAAUCAAGUUCAGUACAGGGAGGAAAGUCCGGACACCAUAGUGCGGCAUAGCGGGUAACGCCCGUCCGCCGAAAGGCGAGGACAAGUGCAACAGAAAGCAAGUACAGUUCGGCUGUAGUGAAAUCAGGUAAACUCUAUGCGGUGAAACGCCAUGUAAACCAAUGCUUGAGGGUUGCACGCCCAAGUUGGAGGGUAGGCGGUUAGAGCUUUUGGGCAACCAAAAGUCUAGAUAAAUGGUAAGGCUCGACAGAAUCCGGCUUAUGGCCUGCUUUUUUA
This 334-nucleotide RNase P RNA is filed under the name Allomuricauda sp. SP22. RNAcentral describes it as "Muricauda sp. SP22 RNase P RNA component class A". It matches the Rfam family "Bacterial RNase P class A". Rfam says of the family: Ribonuclease P (RNase P) is a ubiquitous endoribonuclease, found in archaea, bacteria and eukarya as well as chloroplasts and mitochondria. Its best characterised activity is the generation of mature 5'-ends of tRNAs by cleaving the 5'-leader elements of precursor-tRNAs. The record is from RNAcentral. Lineage: Bacteria; Pseudomonadati; Bacteroidota; Flavobacteriia; Flavobacteriales; Flavobacteriaceae.